AUUUUAUGUCUUUUUGCUUCUCGCUGCACCCUCACUCCAGGGAGACUCAGUGCAUGAGGUGUAACUUAGGCUCUUUGGCUGAAGUCCUCAAGAAAAACAUUCUGGUGGUCAUUUCUCAAAAAUCAUGAUAUCAUUUAUAUCUGGAAUCUAACAUGCAGCACAAAUGAACCUUUCCACAGAAAAGAAAAUCAUGGACAUGGAGAAGAGACUUGUGGUUGCCAAGGGGGAGAGGGGAGGGAGU
This 241-nucleotide long non-coding RNA is filed under the name Sus scrofa (pig). RNAcentral describes it as "lncRNA (ENSSSCG00055024904.1)". The record is from RNAcentral. Lineage: Eukaryota; Metazoa; Chordata; Mammalia; Artiodactyla; Suidae.